RNAcentral lists this long non-coding RNA (233 nucleotides) under Physcomitrium patens. RNAcentral's name for it is "long non-coding RNA (PPAT_LNC001310)". The record is from RNAcentral. Lineage: Eukaryota; Viridiplantae; Streptophyta; Bryopsida; Funariales; Funariaceae.
UUCUAUGAGACCUUUUAAUCCACCAUCUUCAAAAGUUCAUGUAAAACACUAGAAGAAUCCAUCUCUUCCUUGGAAAACACAUGCAAAACUUUUCGGCCAAUAUGAAGAGAUUGUAUCUUCAUUGAAUAUAUUAAAGAUAUCAAAAUCUUAUUAUUCAAAUUUUAAUAAAACUUUAGGAUUUUUCUUAUUUUUACACUUACAUUCUUGGAUUCGUCCUUUGUGGUAUGAAAGAU